UCCCUGGAAAGGGGCGCCA
Molecule: small nuclear RNA, 19 nt
Filed under: Arabidopsis thaliana (thale cress)
Lineage: Eukaryota; Viridiplantae; Streptophyta; Magnoliopsida; Brassicales; Brassicaceae
Description: snRNA_02437
Source: RNAcentral